Contarinia nasturtii (swede midge) is the source of this 7096-nucleotide RNA transcript. It is a transcript of the gene named activating signal cointegrator 1 complex subunit 3, with no coding region annotated. NCBI's taxonomy places the organism in Eukaryota, Metazoa, Arthropoda, Insecta, Diptera, Cecidomyiidae. The record is from RefSeq and is a predicted model, not a curated record. The transcript is spliced from 13 exons.
AUCAAAAGCAAAAAAUCGAAAAAAGAUUGCAAAACGAACAGCAAUAUUGUUGAAAAGAUUUUUUCUGUGAUAAAUUAACAAAUGUAGAACAAAUAUCAUUUGUUAAGAUUUCAAAGAGUUCACUUACUUCAUUUGUGUUAGAAACGAAGAAAAUCCAUGAGAGAAAAACGAAUUGUUGUUUAUAAAUAGAGAGAGAGAGAGAAAGAAAGACAAGUAGAAUAUGGAUCAAUUACCACGAUUUUCCCGUUCAUUACGUGCGAGUCUUAGAUUGGACAUUCAAAGAAACGCCAACUAUCAAGCCGAUCAAGUGGUGGUAAAUUUGUGGCAUGAAGAAAACGAGAGAGCCAAAACCAUUUCAUGGAAGAAGUUUAAAAUGAUGGUACAGCAAAAAUUUGCGGAUGAUACAAAUAAAUUGAAUAAUGUCACCAAACAAUUACAAAAUCUAUGGAAUUUAACGCGAAAUCUUAUCGGUGAUGAUGAGAAUGCCGCUGUUAUCGAUGAUUCGGCAAUAUUUCUGUUCCGUUUCUUUCUUGAUGUCAGCAUUGUAAUGGUUCGACAUUUAAGCGAAUUGAAAGUGAUAUUUGGUAAAAUAACAUCACAGCAUGCAAAUAAAAUUUGUUCGAUGGUAUGUGAUUUAAAAGCCGUGCUCAGCGAUGAUUUAUUACAAGUGAUACGCGAUGAGGUGAAGCAUGAAGAAAAUGGCAAAGAUGAAGACGGUAAAAAGGCAACAAAACGUUGGGGCAAUAAUAUAAAAAUACAAUUACCAAAUGGUGUUGAAACUGAUGCCGACGAAUCGAUUGAAAUGUUGCAAAAUUUCGAUGUCACCGAAGCUGAUGAUGAAAAAGAUGGAAGUGCUGUGUCGGCGUCAUUUUCAAUGCGAUACGAUGAUAUCAAACCGGCGGCACAGCCAAAGACCACAUUCAAUCGAGCCUGGUUAUUGAUGCACGUAAGCAACGAAGUGGUCGAAUCACUGUUGUCCGUGCUCAAAUCGAAAAAGUCCAACAAUGAAUUGCAAAAUGAACUGAUAGAAUUGUUGGGUUUUGAUAAAUUUGAAAUUUUGGAGAAUAUUCUUGAGCAUCGAAAGGAAAUUAUCAAAAAUAUUGAAAACGAUGACAAAGUCAAUAUGAUGUACGAACGUGCUGCGGCGGCCGAACAAUGUGGUGUAGCAAAUCGCACAAAAUCACAACCGGUUGUUUCAUCUCAGGUGGUUGUUCAGUCGGAACAAGAGUUGAGCCUGUUGAAAAAAGUGCGCAAAGAUGAAAAGAAAUUGCGAACAAUAUUCACGGCACAAAAAACGGCCAUUGAAAAUGAACUUGAUGACAACGAUGAUGGCAGUUAUGAUUAUGUUGCAUCACGACUUAAAUUGCAGCAACAGCAGCACAUUUUGGACACCAUUAAGAAUCAACCGAUUUUACCGAAAGCGAAGAAAACAUCCGAUGCAAUGAGCUGGCUAACACAAUCAUCGAGGAAAGUAACGUAUCCAUAUGUAUUUGAUAGUCAAAUGGAGGCACGUACACAUGUUGGAUUUGUGGCCGGUUCAAAACUAGUACUGCCCGAGUCGGCAUUACGAACCGAUAAUAAAAUGUACGAAGAAAUCAAUUUACCAGCAAAUACUGCUGCGGUUGACUUGAAAGUUGGAGAUCAACGCAUACAGAUCGCUGAUUUAGAUGAAAUUGGUCAGCUAGCUUUCAAGGGAGUGAAAGAGUUGAAUCGAAUACAAAGUGUGGUUUUUGAAAAAGCCUAUCAUUCAAAUGAUAAUUUAUUGAUUUGUGCACCAACGGGAGCGGGAAAAACAAAUGUUGCUAUGCUUACAAUUAUCAAUGCUAUUCGAUCGCACACCGAUCAAGGUGUUAUUCAUCGAGAUCAAUUUAAAGUUGUCUAUGUGGCACCGAUGAAAGCAUUGGCCGCUGAAAUGGUGGAAAAUUUCGGAAAGAGACUUAAAUCAUUGGGAAUUAGCGUUCGAGAAUUAACGGGUGAUAUGUCACUAACCAAAUCGGAAAUUCAACAGACUCAGAUGUUGGUGACGACGCCCGAAAAAUGGGAUGUGAUAACACGUAAAGGAGCCGGCGAUGUUGCAUUGAUUUCGCUCGUUAAACUGUUGAUUAUCGAUGAAGUGCAUUUGUUGCAUGGUGAAAGAGGUCCAGUUGUCGAAGCAUUAGUUGCACGUACAUUACGGCUCGUUGAAUCCACACAAAAUAUGAUUCGUAUCGUUGGUUUAUCAGCCACACUGCCAAAUUAUAUUGAUGUGGCACGUUUUCUUCGUGUCAAUCCAAUGGUUGGACUAUUCUAUUUUGAUGGUCGUUUUCGUCCCGUUCCACUCGAACAAACAUUUGUUGGUGUGAAAAAUAUCAAACCGAUGCAACAAUUGGCCGAUAUGGAUACAGUUUGCUAUGAAAAAUGUGUUGAACAACUAAAAUUGGGCUAUCAAGUGAUGGUAUUUGUGCAUGCACGUAAUGCAACCGUUCGAACAGCGAAUGUUCUUCGUGAGAUGGCCACACAAAAACAGCAUUUAACUCUAUUUGCACCCGACGAAUCGAAGGAUUUGGGAUUGGCAAAGCGUUCAAUGGCAAACAGUCGAAAUAAACAACUAAACGAACUAUUUCAAUACGGCAUUGCAAUGCAUCAUGCUGGUAUGUUACGCACUGAUCGUUCAAUGGUUGAACGAUAUUUCGGUGAAGGUCUGAUCAAAGUGCUUGUUUGUACAGCAACAUUGGCAUGGGGUGUUAAUUUACCGGCACAUGCAGUUAUUAUCAAAGGAACGGAAAUUUACGAUGCAAAACAUGGUGCAUUUGUUGAUAUUGGUAUAUUGGAUGUGUUGCAAAUUUUCGGCAGAGCUGGACGACCGCAAUAUGAAAAAUCUGGUCUUGGUAUCAUUAUAACGGCACAUAAUAAAUUAACACAUUAUCUGUCAUUGCUGACCAAUCAAUUUCCCAUCGAAUCGAAUUUUAUCGAAUGCUUGGCGGAUAAUUUGAAUGCCGAAAUUACGCUGGGAACGAUUUGUAACAUUGACGAAGCCAUCGAAUGGCUUAGCUACACGUAUUUAUUUGUUCGAAUGAGACUGAAUCCACAAGUAUAUGGUAUGACCUAUGAAGACAUAAUGGAAGAUCCAACGUUAGAGCACAAACGACGUGCAUUAAUUAUAACGGCCGCACAAAGUUUGGACAAAGCACAAAUGAUUCGAUACAAUGUGCGAACGGGCGAUUUGCAUGCAACCGAUUUGGGUCGAACGGCAUCACAUUUUUACAUUAAAUAUGCAACCGUUGAAAUAUUCAAUGAACAUCUAAUGGAUGUCAUGUCUGAACCGGAAAUUUUACAUAUGAUGUCAUUGGCACAAGAAUUCCAGCAGCUCAAAGUUCGUGACGAAGAAUUGGACGAAUUGGAAGAUUUAACGAAUGAUUAUUGUGAAGUGGUGGCAAAAGGUGGUGCCGCCAAUAUUCAUGGAAAAGUAAACAUUUUAAUGCAAACAUAUUUGUCACGUGGUCAAGUUCGAUCGUUUUCACUUGUAUCCGAUUUAUCGUAUAUAACACAAAAUGCGGUGCGUAUUGUUCGUGCAUUAUUUACCAUUGAAUUGCAUAGAAAUAAUGCACUUUUGGCCGGACGACUCUUGAUGCUGAGCAAAAUGUUUGAACGACAAAUGUGGGAUUUUCAUACGCCGUUGCGACAAUUUACGCGAAUCGGAUUUGAUAUGAUUGAAAAAAUUGAGGAUCGUGGUAUCAGUGUGAUGGCAUUGCGUGAUAUGGAUGCCAAAGAAAUUGGUGACUAUUUACGAAAUCAACGAAAUGGUGCAUUCAUUGGAAAAUGUGCGGCCGAAUUUCCAAUUAUUGAAAUUGACGCUACAUUGCAUCCAAUUACACGAACUGUGUUACGUAUCCGAAUUUUUAUUCGUGCAAAAUUUCGAUGGAACGAUGGUGUUCAUGGUAAAUUUGCGGAACCAUUUUGGAUAUGGAUUGAAGACCCUGAAAGCAAUUACAUUUAUCAUUCGGAAUAUUUUCAAUUGACGAGAAAACAAGCAUUCUCCGAUGAACCACAAGAAUUGGUUGUGACAAUUCCAUUGCGAGAACCAUUACCACCGCAAUAUUACAUUCGGGCAAUAAGCGACAGAUGGCUGGGCAGUGAAACGUAUUUCGCAUUGAGCUUUCAACAUUUAAUCUUACCCGAACUGCAUCCACCUCAUACUGAAUUGUUACCACUUCAACCAUUACCGGUUUCCGUUUUGAAUAACAAAAAUUAUGAAUCAUUGUAUCCAUUCACACAUUUCAAUCCAAUUCAAACACAAAUCUUUCACUGUCUUUAUCAUAACGAUACAAAUGUUUUGCUCGGCGCACCCACCGGAUCGGGAAAAACGAUUGCUGCGGAAAUGGCAAUAUUUAGAGUAUUCAAUACAUAUCCAAAUGGAAAAGUCGUUUAUAUUGCACCACUGAAGGCUCUGGUACGUGAACGUAUCGAAGAUUGGAAGUAUCGAUUAGAGCAAAGGCUCGGCAAAAAAGUGGUUGAAUUGACUGGUGACGUAACACCGGAUGCUAGAGCAAUACGCGAUAGUCAUGUCAUUGUAACGACACCGGAAAAAUGGGACGGUAUCAGUCGAUCGUGGCAAACACGUGAAUAUGUCAAAGAUGUUGCUUUAAUUGUUAUCGAUGAAAUCCAUUUGCUUGGCGAAGAUCGGGGUCCAGUUCUUGAGGUCAUUGUUUCUCGUACAAAUUUCAUUGCAUCUCAUACAAAACGAACAUUGCGUAUUGUUGGUUUGUCAACGGCAUUGGCGAAUGCACGUGAUUUAGCCAAUUGGCUUGGAAUCAAAGACAUGGGAUUGUACAAUUUUAAACCGUCCGUUCGUCCAGUUCCGUUGUCGGUGCAUAUCAGUGGAUUUCCGGGAAAGCAUUAUUGCCCACGAAUGGCAACAAUGAAUCGUCCAGCAUAUCAAGCAAUUCGACAAUAUUCACCAUGUACGCCGGCUUUAAUAUUUGUCUCGUCGCGUCGUCAAACCCGAUUAACUGCACUCGAUUUGAUUGCAUUUUUGGCGGGCGAAGAUAAUCCAAAGCAAUUUAUGCAUUUGCCCGAACACGAAAUGGAUCAAAUAUUGGAAAAUAUCAAAGAUUCAAAUCUCAAAUUAACGCUUGCAUUCGGCAUUGGGCUUCAUCAUGCCGGUUUACAUGAACACGAUCGAAAAACCGUCGAAGAAUUAUUUUUACAUCGAAAAAUUCAAAUUUUAGUUGCAACAGCAACGUUGGCAUGGGGCAUUAAUUUACCCGCACAUUUGGUCAUCAUCAAAGGAACUGAAUAUUAUGAUCCGAAAUUGAAGCGAUAUGUCGACAUGCCAAUUACUGAUGUACUUCAGAUGAUGGGCCGCGCUGGACGUCCACAAUUUGGCAAUGAAGGUAUUGCUGUUGUUCUUGUUCACGAUGUGAAAAAGAACUUUUACAAAAAAUUCCUAUACGAUCCAUUCCCCGUUGAAUCGCAUUUGCUAAAUGUUUUACCGGAUCAUGUGAAUGCUGAAAUUGUUGCGGGUACUGUACAAACCAAACAAAGUAUUCUCGAUUAUUUCACGUGGACAUAUUGCUUUAGACGUUUAAUGCGGAAUCCAACGUAUUAUGAUUUGGCCAGCAUCGAAUCGCAAGAUGUAAAUCGAUUUCUAUCGAAUUUGAUUGAAACGGUGCUACAAACACUCACCGAUGCGGGUUGCAUUGAAAUUGAUUCAGAAGAUUCAAGGCAUGUAUAUUCAACAUCAAUGGGACGUAUUUCAUCGUAUUAUUAUUUAUCACAUCAAAGUAUGCGACAUUUUGCCGACUGUUUACACAAUGACAUGACAUUCGAAAAUGUUCUAUGGGCCAUGAGCAAUGCAUACGAAUUUUAUUCACAACCAUGUCGACACAAUGAAGAUAAAUACAAUAUAGAACUUUCGAAGAAUUGUCGUCUAAGUGUCGAUCCGCUAACAUGUGAUUCGCCACAUACAAAAACAUUCUUAUUGAUUCAAGCCCAUUUUUCACAUCUUCCACUUCCAAACUCCGAUUAUCUCACCGACACCAAGUCGGUUCUCGAUCAAUCCAUUCGGAUAUUGCAGGCAAUGAUUGAUAUUUGUGCUGAGAAUGGUUGGUUAAUUUCAGUAAUUCGAAUCCAACAAUUAAUGCAAUGCAUCAUCCAAGGACGAUGGUUUGAUGAAUCACCAGUUCUAUCGUUACCAUACGUUGAAGAGGAAAAUAUUCCAUGUUUUAAGCGAAUCCAUCUCAAAGAAUCAAUUUUGACAUUACCAACACUAAAGGAAAAUAUUUUCAAAAAUUAUGAAAUAUUGGCCGGCCCAUUGCGUGAAGAUUUUGAAGAAACACAAAUUGAACGAAUUUAUCAGGUAUUAUGUGAUAUGCCAACACUUGACAUUGAUCUAUGUGUAAUUGGUCAGCUACACAAUGAAACCGAUGUUGUGCAAAAUGUAAAGGUGCCAAUGACCAGAGACGACUGGAUUCAAAUUCAUCAAAACGAGGAGUACACGAUUCAAGCGAAUUUUCAUAGAUAUGUACAUCGAUCGGGCAAAGAGCGACAUAAAACAAAUUCAAUUAUUCCAAAAGUGCAUUGUCCAAAAUUCUCAAAAAUCAAAGAUGAAGGCUGGUUCUUAAUAUUGGGCGAACCAGGUCAAGCUGAAUUAAUUGCACUGAAACGAUGUUCUUAUCGUAAUUCGAAAAGUAUUCACUCGGUUACAUUCAUCGCACCAGAUAAAAUUGGUCGAUAUUUGUAUACUGUUUAUAUUAUUUCGGAUAGUUAUAUUGGUUUUGAUCAGCAAUAUGAUUUGCAGUUUGAAGUCAUAAACGAAAAAAAGCAUGACCAUCAUCAAUUCAUGGAAUUGGACUUUCCAAAAAUUGUUUAAAUAAUACCAGCAGAGAAUUUCUAUCAACGAUUACUAUUACAAUUAUUAUUAAUUUUAUUUAUUUUUAUUCCAUAAUUUGGAUCUGUAUGCCAAGCAUACGUGCAGUAUGCUGCCCGAAGGCCAAUUACAAUAAACAUAUAAAUUUCUAUGUUUGAAAUUUUAUUUCAGAAUUUAAGGACACCGAUUGCCAACGACAUUUUCUGCAAAUUCGAUAAUGGUCGUUUUUUAGAUACAAUUGCUAUCAUU